RNAcentral lists this unclassified non-coding RNA (201 nucleotides) under Hevea brasiliensis (rubber tree). Lineage: Eukaryota; Viridiplantae; Streptophyta; Magnoliopsida; Malpighiales; Euphorbiaceae. The record is from RNAcentral.
UUUAUUUGAUAUCCUCUAGAGCUACACAUGGACAUAAUGAAUUACAUGAAAACAAAUGUCUAAAGAGCAUCCUUUGAUAAAAACUCGUUACUUCUAACCGUUCGAGCAUUGCAUAGCUCAUCGACACAAUCUCCUCGUUCAAAAACAGCAGCAGCCCCCAUACCUGUGCCUAUGCACAUUGAGAUUACUCCAAAGCGGCAG